Long non-coding RNA from Canis lupus familiaris (dog), 3236 nucleotides. RefSeq lists it as uncharacterized. The record is from RefSeq and is a predicted model, not a curated record. The transcript has 2 exons. NCBI's taxonomy places the organism in Eukaryota, Metazoa, Chordata, Mammalia, Carnivora, Canidae.
CGGCGGCCGGGCCCCCUCGUCCCGCGGCGUUGCGAGCCCACGGGCUCCCGGCCUCCUGUCGCGGGGCCGAGCGGGGCCGAGGAGGCGCGGGAAGCCCGGAGCCCGUGCACCUGCUGCGGCUGCUGCGCCAGGACCCAGGACCUCGCUGCCCCUCUCGGCCACGAGGGGAGGCGAGGUGGGAACCCGCCCGCACCCCUCGUGGCGGCGCUGGAGGAGAAGCCCUCCUUGCAGCUGCCAGCCCCGUGGCUGCAGGGCGCCCUUGGCUUCCCACGGCUCCACGAGACCUGUCCCCGAGCUGUCCCCAAGCUGCCGUCUCUUGCAGGGAGGCCUGGGAUUAAUUGCAGCCCGGGGAGAGCAUCCUGGACGAUGGAGCCAAAGCCGGGAAGGCACAGCUGUUGGCCUCCCCUCAUUGCGAGGGGAGAGCUGUGCUCUGUUGGCUUCCUCCUGCAGACGGCCGUGGAGACCCACUUAAAAUAUUCUAGAUGAGCCACACCUCGGGCCGGGCCUCAGGACAGCGGCCACGGGGAAGAAGUCAGGGUGCCCUCGUGCAGCUGUGUCUGCACGGCUGUGCCCCCAAACCUGUCUGGGGGCCCUUAGCUGUCGCAUCACUGUGUCACCGGCACCUCCAAGGGCCUGUCCAGAUCAGGUCCUCAACUAGCGGUUACUGGAAUUGCUUUUUAAUGGAGCCGAGCCCUCCCCUUACCCCAGUCCCCCCCCGCCCCCCGCCGUUCGUGGGCAGGCGCUGCGAGGCACACUCACGCUCAAAGAUCAAGCAGAAGCACACUGUGCCACCCCAGGUGCUCUGGAUUGUUUCACAGGCCUCCGUUCCUUCCUGGCCACUCUCUGAGCCAUCCACCCACAGUGCCCUUUCUGUGACCGCAGAAUCCUGUUCCCGGGGACCCUGGGGCCCACCCUCCCCACCCCGAUGUCCCCAGGGCAGGACAAGGCAGGGCGGGUCUUCUGCAGAAGAAACGUCCAAGGGUGAGGUCGACCGUGUCCCCACCCCACUCCCCACAGAUCCACUGAUGUCCAGACCUCUGGAGCCUGUGAAUGUGACUUCACUGGGAAAAGGGGUCUUUGUAGAUGCAACUAUGUGAGGGAUCCUGAGAGCGCCCCGGAUGAGCCGGGUGGGCCACCGACAGGUGCAGAGGGAGAGGGUAAGAUUCACUGAGGGGGCAGCGGCAAAGGCGGGCAGGGGCUCAAGGUGCAGCCUCCCCUGGAGCCCCCUCUCCCAGGGACACCCCCCCCUCCGCCUCCACUCCCCCCGUGCCAGGUGGGUGCACACAGCGCUGGCCUCGAGCAACAGGGCUGGAGGAGCAGCAUCACCAAGACACGGACGGAAAAUAGCAGAAUCACCGGAAUUAAGCUGACGUUAGAGGAACAAGAGUGUCUGAGAUACGUAGAAAUGCCGUAGAUGCAGUGCGGGGGUCCGGAGAGCAGCACUUCGGCACUGGCGCGUCCCGCUGUCUGCCCGAGGCCCAAGCAUCAGGCCGACGGCCCCCUGCUCCCCGGAGAAGCCAUCCACACCCACAGGACUUGGCGCAGAGGGAGGAGUAAAACCCAAACCCACGAUCACUGUGAGCACACACACUGGGAGUUCAGGACAGCAGCUGGGAGGCACGGCGGGAGCGGUGGGGAGAGCCAAGCGUCCUCGGUGGGAUCCCACGGGGCUGGGAGUGGCAGGCCAGCCCUGGGACACUCAGCGUGGGAUGCGCAGACCCGAGACGUGCACAGCUUCUCAAACAUCUGCUUGCUGCUCUUUCUCAACUGACAUUUGUUUUUUAGGCAUAAAUGGCAUCAGCAAGGUUCUGUUUUGUUUUGUUUUGAAGAUUUUAUUUAUCUGUAUUUGACAGAGAGAGAAAGCAUAAGCAGGGGGAGGAGAGGGAGAAGCAGCCACCCACCGAGCAGGGAGCCCGAUGUGGGACUCGAUCCCAGGACCCCGGGAUCAUCGCCUGAGCCCAAGGCGAACGCUUCACCGAUGGAGCCCCCCCAGAACCCCUGGAAUCAGCAAGUUUUAAUAAAACACCUGCACCUUCAUGAAUCUGUGAUGAUUUGGGUUUGUUUCCGGAAACUUUCAGAGGCCCAAGGCUUGCCUGGCCGUGGUCAGGGAAAACACCGUGUGAGACUAGAAAAGCAAGGAAGAACUCGGAGAUGCAGAGAAAAAAGGCUUAGAAGAUCAGCCGGUACCGGUUCUGAACGGGAAGACACAGAACCACCCAACUGUGCGCUGACAGAAGCGACCCGGGAACGUGUUCAUCCAAGUAAAGCAAACCCGCCUCUCUCAGGGCGGCAGCGGGUCAGCGGGUUGUGCCCACCUCCACGGGGCCGCGAGGGCCAGGCCCUCUUCCUCGGCACCCGCACCCCAGGGCCCAGGGUGGUGUCAGCCACCCCCACCCCGACAGGACGGUCUCCUGGGGUGCUGGGGGAGGAGCUCUCGUGCUAGAGCUGCUGGCAGUGGCCACCUGUGGGCUGCCCCCCCCUCCCCUAGGGAAACUGUUUGGAGGCCUGAGGUCCGGCUGGGCCCCGCCUGAGCAGGUGCGCCUGUCCCCUCCCCUCUGCCACUCAGGACUGGUCUGAGCUCUCGGAGGAGCAGCCUCACUGGUUGCCAGGGGCCAAGAUCACGUGGAAGGAUGCAGCCCUGGGCACUGUCUUAUGACUAUGUGAGCAGAGGGGCAGGAGCGUACAGCCUACACGGAGGGUGGACGCAGAGAUGAGACACAGUGGCACACAGGCACACGUGCACACACACGUGUGUACACGUACAGGCUUCCUCACCUGGGCCAGGGAGGAAGGGCUGGCUUCUCUUAGGCAGAGAGAGGGAGAUGGAGUCUCUCGGCCUCCAGAACGGAGGGCAUAGACCCUGGGUCAUCCUUCUACCUCCCAGCUGCUUGGGGCAUCAGCUGAUUUCCACACUAGCCGCUCCCCCCACAGAUGGGGCCCCCACAGCACAGAGGAGCCAAAGCAGCUUGUUUUCAGUAUUCUUUAUUGGCAGUGGAAAAUGCUUCAGUACUGUAUUGAAAGACAGCAAUAAAUAAUACUGUGAUAAAAAUAGUUCAAAAGUAGACUGUACAUACUUUGUUACACAAUCAGGAAGUUCACAAAAGAUUAAUAGAAAAACAGAAUGGUACAGUGAAUUGUACAAGUAAAUUAAAAGCAGAAACCAAACGUAAAAAGACAUGCCGUGCCGUUUCUAUCUAUGUAUCAGCUGCAUAAUAAAUAACGCACCAUGAACUGAA